CCGUCUCAGCCUCGAGGCGAAUUAUCCUCCUCCCAAGUUUGGAUUCGAAGCCCCGUCUGGUUCGAAGGCUUUUCCUCCUCGACGUGAUGACGGUCUCUGAGGCAGUUCGGUGGACGCGAGUGUGGGUUUUGGAAGUGGUUCGUUCGCCCGGUUCGAGGCUUUGCUUUUCGAGGGGUUCGAAUGCGUGAUUCGUGACCAGCCGUCCAACAGCUAUGAAAAAAGGUAGAGUCCGCCCACACCACGUCAGACCGUGGGCGAGCAAAACCUUGGGUGUGAUUUUGACUAUGGUGAUCCUACUCGUCAUCUACAUCGCAUUCACACCAUCGUAUUCCAGCUGCCUCCUGAAAGCUCUGAAAGGCCCUUUGGCAGUCGAUGACCCAGAAUUCCUGACCUACCUGAGGCAAGAGGUAUG
Non-coding RNA from Penaeus vannamei (Pacific white shrimp), 412 nucleotides. The record is from RefSeq and is a predicted model, not a curated record. Lineage: Eukaryota; Metazoa; Arthropoda; Malacostraca; Decapoda; Penaeidae.